Molecule: ribosomal RNA, 456 nt
Filed under: uncultured Acidovorax sp.
Lineage: Bacteria; Pseudomonadati; Pseudomonadota; Betaproteobacteria; Burkholderiales; Comamonadaceae
Description: bacterial SSU rRNA
Rfam family: Bacterial small subunit ribosomal RNA
Source: RNAcentral
CACAAGCGGUGGAUGAUGUGGUUUAAUUCGAUGCAACGCGAAAACCUUACCACCUUUGACAUGUACGGAAUCCUUUAGAGAUAGAGGAGUGCUCGAAAGAGAGCCGUAACACAGGUGCUGCAUGGCUGUCGUCAGCUCGUGUCGUGAGAUGUUGGGUUAAGUCCCGCAACGAGCGCAACCCUUGUCAUUAGUUGCUACAUUCAGUUGGGCACUCUAAUGAGACUGCCGGUGACAAACCGGAGGAAGGUGGGGAUGACGUCAAGUCCUCAUGGCCCUUAUAGGUGGGGCUACACACGUCAUACAAUGGAUGGUACAAAGGGUCGCCAACCCGCGAGGGGGAGCCAAUCCCAUAAAGCCAUUCGUAGUCCGGAUCGCAGUCUGCAACUCGACUGCGUGAAGUCGGAAUCGCUAGUAAUCGUGGAUCAGAAUGUCACGGUGAAUACGUUCCCGGGUCUU